RNAcentral lists this unclassified non-coding RNA (253 nucleotides) under uncultured Halomonadaceae bacterium. RNAcentral's name for it is "contains 16S-23S intergenic spacer region". It matches the Rfam family "Bacterial small subunit ribosomal RNA", at positions 524 to 776 of the family's 1533-position model. Lineage: Bacteria; Pseudomonadati; Pseudomonadota; Gammaproteobacteria; Oceanospirillales; Halomonadaceae. The record is from RNAcentral.
UACGGAGGGAGCGAGCGUCACUCGGAAUUACUUGGCGUAAAGCGCGCGUAGGUGGCUUGAUAAGCCGGUUGAGAAAGCCCCGGGCUCAACCUGGGAACGGCAUCCGGAACUGUCAGGCUAUAGUGCAGGAGAGGAAGGUAGAAUUCCCGGUGUAGCGGUGAAAAGCGUAGAGAUCGGGAGGAAUACCAGUGGCGAAGGCGGCCUUCUGGACUGACACUGACACUGAGGUGCGAAAGCGUGGGUAGCAAACAGG